RNAcentral lists this ribosomal RNA (619 nucleotides) under uncultured bacterium. Its description in RNAcentral is "bacterial SSU rRNA". It matches the Rfam family "Bacterial small subunit ribosomal RNA", at positions 100 to 755 of the family's 1533-position model. The record is from RNAcentral.
GACGGGUGCGUAACGCGUGGGAAUCUGCCCUUGGGUUCGGAAUAACAGUGAGAAAUUGCUGCUAAUACCGGAUGAUGUCUUCGGACCAAAGAUUUAUCGCCCAGGGAUGAGCCCGCGUAGGAUUAGCUAGUUGGUGGGGUAAUGGCCUACCAAGGCGACGAUCCUUAGCUGGUCUGAGAGGAUGAUCAGCCACACUGGGACUGAGACACGGCCCAGACUCCUACGGGAGGCAGCAGUGGGGAAUAUUGGACAAUGGGCGCAAGCCUGAUCCAGCAAUGCCGCGUGAGUGAUGAAGGCCUUAGGGUUGUAAAGCUCUUUUACCAGGGAUGAUAAUGACAGUACCUGGAGAAUAAGCUCCGGCUAACUCCGUGCCAGCAGCCGCGGUAAUACGGAGGGAGCUAGCGUUGUUCGGAAUUACUGGGCGUAAAGCGCGCGUAGGCGGUUACUCAAGUCAGAGGUGAAAGCCCGGGGCUCAACCCCGGAACUGCCUUUGAAACUAGGUGACUAGAAUCUUGGAGAGGUCAGUGGAAUUCCGAGUGUAGAGGUGAAAUUCGUAGAUAUUCGGAAGAACACCAGUGGCGAAGGCGACUGACUGGACAAGUAUUGACGCUGAGGUGCG